RNAcentral lists this long non-coding RNA (815 nucleotides) under Bos taurus (domestic cattle). RNAcentral's name for it is "long non-coding RNA NONBTAT009217". Lineage: Eukaryota; Metazoa; Chordata; Mammalia; Artiodactyla; Bovidae. The record is from RNAcentral.
GUGAUUGCCAAGAAAUCCUCCUUCACAAGACAGAUGUCUUGGCAUUUCUUCGGUUCUAGUACAUUUUAUACUGACACAAAAAGUGCUUAUCAGUUUAAGUGAUAAAAGUAAAGUCUUGCGUUAAAAUUUAAAAUCACACUGUCUCCCUCCUGGAUAUGUGGCCUUUCAAAGAAUUUUGUUUUAUUUCUGAGGUCACUUAUUUUGUGCCCCCAGCCCGCCCCUGCCAGAUGCUAGAGAGGGAUAAAGUGACCCCAUCAUUCGUGUGGCCGCAAGCUGUUUGGCAUCUAUUGGUCAUUAUACCACAACUAUCAUUCCAAGUCAGUUUACUGUCAUCACCUGGACAAUCUGGUAACUGGAAGCCACAAUACUGGUUUUUCCCUUGGUUUGACAACAAAGGUUCUAUACAUUAAAUUAAUGGUAGUGUUUGCAUUUCAACGUUUUGUGUCAUGUAUAAAAUUAAAAGUGCUGUUUUAAAUCCACAGAAGUCACUUCCAGGAUGAUGGUAUGACACGACAAUGUGCAUGUAUCUGCCCUAAAUGGAAACACCUGAAACACUUAUUUCCAUAAGAAAAAAAAUGCUAGUUUAUGAAAGACAUAAAACAAGAGAAAUGCAUCAUUUCCAUCCUCAAUACAAAACAUUCAUACUAAUCUGUUUAUCUGAUAGCAUUGAUCAGACCAGGGAGCUAGGACAAAACCCUUUUGCAUCACUGGAACUCCAUGAAGGUUUCCAAUGACCUUAAGGCAGGGACAGUGUGAGCCAAUUAAUCAGAGUGCAAUUACAUUAAAACCUCCUUCAUACUUUCUGUAGCACACUG